CUUAACCUAAUCCCUACCCCUAUAUAAUAGUACCUAAUCCCUAAAUUGGCGGGGACCUGGCUGACCAUCAAGCUCUCAGCCGUUUUCUGAUCUAAAAAAUCCUCACACACCUUAAGGAGCUUCUUCUUCAACGCAACACCUUAGAACUAGCGACACCCAUAAGAACGACCACCCUCACUUCCUUUAGAAAUCAAAAAGCCACCAUCCUCCAGAAAAUACUUCAAAUAAACUCCAAAACACCCUAAACAAUCACGAAAAACUCAGCCUUAAAACCAGUUAAAACCAACCCAUAGACCACCGUCGAAGCCAGCAAUUCUGGCAAUGGAACACUGUUUCAAAAGCUGAAAAAUACAGCUAAAACAACUGCAAAAGUAGCUGUGAGACAUCCCCUGUUUCAGUCACGCAAAAGCUACCCUUAUACCAUCACAAAUACGCCCAAAACAAUGCAAAAAUCAGCUUGAAACUGCCAUCCAAACCCAGUAGAGAUGAGUCCGUUCGGGGACACCGAUUUCGGUCCGAGUUUCUGGUCUAUAGCUUACUUGAGGAUUUUCUAUUCUAGAGAUUUUAUUUUCAUUGUAUCUGCUCCAUAAUUUCAGCAAUAGAAGGUCCGUUUCUGUUUUCAAUAUUACUUUCAUGCUUUAACCAUUUUCUAUUAAUUGUUUGUUUAGACAAGAUGUUACGUCAUUUCAUAGAAUGUUAUACAUUCCAAAUUUGAGGCUUUAUGGCUCCUUGUUUCUUAGUGAUGUGAAGUGAUUUUAUAUUAAAGUGUUUAUAUUUCCAGUAGUUGUCCAUAUUUUAACAAUAUAUAGUGCCAAUCAAGGUGCUGCCUAACUGAUUUGAUAGCAUUUUCCAUGAAUCUGCUAACCGACGAUUAUAAUAUCUCCAUCCAUUUAGCACGUUUGGUUGUUUUCUUUUAAUUAUUAUUUUGUUUUUCUUAUUUCAUGUUAGAUAGCUUUGUGGAUUUAUGUACAACUAUAGCUUGUUCGUCGAAUUUAGUUGAAUUGACAGAAUUUAGUUGAUAUUGUUGAUUUGUUUCAUAAAGUUAAUAGUGAUAGAGGAAAAUCACAAUUGGCUUAAAUAAAAGUGUUUCAGGUUUGAGAAUUCUGGAUCCGGGCAAAAUAUCUGCCAGGCCCAACAUCAAUAAACAUAUAAGCCAAGAGGGUUUUACACAUAGAUGAGCUUCUCAAUUACAACAAUGACUAAGUCUUACAUUUUUCCAAUAACCUUUUGUCCAUAAAUCUAUAGCCUUCACAAUAAUCUCAAAGUAAUUUAGGAAAAUAACUCAUGCGCGCGUAGUUGCUUUAGGCACGUUAAUUAAAUUGUCAUAGCUACGGGACGGUUCCCGUAACGUAGUUGUGACGCUUAAUUUCCAAAAUUCGGGGGUACCUUUAUGUGACCCAGCCCACAAUUUAAUCUCAUUAAUAAAAUAAAUACGUUGUGGAUCGUGGGUACUGUUCCCAUGACAUGAUUCACAAAUGUGUAAUCAAUAAUUAGUUGUAUAACAAUUGGAUUAUUAAAAGCGGUUUAAAAGGAAUAAAAUGCACAUUGGUUUCAAGAAUGUAUUAAAAUAAGAUAAUAGGCCAAUUAUAAUAGUUGAGCGACCGUGCUAGAACCACGGAAUCCGGGAAUGCCUAACACCUUCUCCCGGGUUAAUAGAAUUCCUUACCCGGAUCUCUGUGUUCGCGUCCUGAAAACAGAGUCAAUCUUUCCUCGAUUCGGGAUUUGAACCGGUGACUUGGGACACCUUAAAUUAUCCCAAGUGGCGACUUUAAAUUUUAAAUAAAAAAAAUCCUGUUUCGAUCGUCACUUAAAUUGGAAAAAACUCCCUUAUACCCCUUUCGGGUGUAGUAAAAAGGAGGUGUGAUAGCUCUGGAGACUCUGUUGGGGAAACAAACCCAUAAUCUCUGGUUCAGGGUUCAGACUAGCUGGAGUACCAACUGGCUGGCCUCCACCUAUCUGAACAAUAGCUGGAUGAGCUCCCCCUUUCAGCCUCUACCCCUAGAAUGGCCCCUACCCGCCUACCUACCGCGUUUGGGCGGUCGGACGGCCGGUGCUGUAAUCAUGGACUGAUGUCCCUAUUGUACUACCUUGCUCCGAAGUUUGGGACAAAACCUCUUCAUGUGACUUGGAUACCCACACUCAUAACAACCCCUCGGUACCAUAGACUGCUGCCUCGAAGUCUGACCCUGAUGGCUUUAAUACCCAAUGGAAGAACCAUGAAUAGCUGGUGGGCGGUAUGAACUCUCUAGCAUGACACUGAAAUAGGCACUGGAAGAACCUUGAUGGCCUGAGUACCCAUUGGAAGAACCCUGAAUAGCUGGCGGGCGGUAAGAACUCUCUAGCAUAGCACUGAAAUAGGGUCGCGCUGGAGCACCCCGAGGAGGUGGUGGUGUUGGAUAUAUGGGUUUGCUAGGCUGACCCCUCCCAAACUGACCUCUACCCCUAGUUGGGGCACCUCUAAACUCUCCAGAAAAGUGGAACCGCUUGUCCUGCUGCAUCUGCUCUCUACCUCGCUGACGAUAACCCUCAAUCUUUCCAUCUAUCUCGACCACUAGCUUAUUAGAGGUCCCCAUCUCAACUUCCCGGGACAUACUAGCCUAAAUACCAGAGUGCAACCCCGCAACAAACCUCUGCACUCUCCCUGUGUCAAUAGCAAGUAUCAUAAGUGCAUGGAGAGACAACUCAGAGAAUCUCUCCUCAUAAUCGGUCACUGACAUCUGGAUCUGCUGAAGCUGCUCAAACUAACACCACAACUCUUCCCUCUAAGAGGGUAGGAUAUACCUAUCCAAGAAAAGGCGUGUAAACUGGUCCCAAGUCAUGGGAGGAGAGCCUGUUGGUCUGCCGAGAAGAUAAGACUUCCACCAUCUAUGGGCCCUGCCCUCUAGCUGAAAGGUAGUGAAAUCCACCCUGUGGGACUCCAAUAUACUCAUGUUGUGCAGUCUGUCCCUGUACCUAUCAAUAAAGUCCUGGGAGUCCUCAUGUCGCUCACCUCCGAAGACAGGAAGGUGUAGCCUAGUACAUCUGUCCAAAAGCUUCUGCAGCUCGCCGACCGCAACUGGUCUGGGCUCAAGUACGGCUAUUUUUACUAGGUGGGCCCCGCCUACAGAUAGUGCACCCGGGUCUGAUAUAAAACAACUGCAUGACCAGGAGCCUGAGCAGUAGGUGUCUAUGCUCCCCCUCCCAUCUGAGAUGUGGCUGGGUCUGCUGGAAAUAAACCAACCUAGGUGAUAGUAUCCAUGAACUGCAACAUACGACCCAUAACCUCCUAAAAGCCCAGUGCUGACAUGAAAUUGAUCGGAGCUGGCUCUACUAUGGGCACUUUGCCCUGCUCCUCUAUAGUGGGAUCCUCCACUGGAUCUACUGGUGGUACAACUGGGGAAACUUUGGGACGUCCUCGAGCUGGUGCCCUCCCCCAGCCUCUACCUCGGCCUCUAGCAACAUGGGGAGCAGCUCCUCCCGGGUCCGAAACAUCUGUCGUGCGUGUUCUCACCAUCUGUGAGAGACUAAGAGAAAGACACUUAGUAUAAUAUCAACUACACGAUAUGAGAUGAAGAAAGAGUAGUUUCCUAACACCCUAUAGCCUCUCGAAGAUAAGUACAAAUGUCUUCGCACCAAUCCGCAAGACUCUAUUAGGCCUACUCAUAACUUGUGAGACCUACGUGAACCUAGUGCUCUGAUACCACUUUGUCACGACCCAAUUGUAAUACAGGCCGUGAUGGCACCCAACACCGCCGCUAGGCAGGCCAGCAAUGAACUAACCACGUGAUUUCUCAUUUUAAAAGACUUUCCAAGUAUUUAAACUUUCCUUAAUUUGAAAGAUUUAAGAAAUAACAGAUUUAAAAUAAAUAACACGAAAACAACUAAGAGCAAUCAUGACCAUAAAAUAAAACUAAAACCACAAGUCUACUAAUGUGUGCCACAACCUAGUGUCACAAGUGUAUGAGAAUUCUAGUAUAAUAUACAAAAGAAUAUUAGUUUACUAUCUGAAGUGAAAUAGAUAGAAAGAAAUAUAAGAAAAAGAAAGACUCCAGUUGCUGCAGAACGGCUCGGAAGGCAGCUCACCGUGAAUCCUCGAAGUGGUAAUCAAAUGUGCGCGUCAGACUGAUAUCCAGAUGCACCUGCCUUGGAACCUGCACAUUAAGUGCAGAAGUGUAGCGUGAGUACAUAAAUAUCAUGUACCCAGUAAGUAUCUAGUCUAACGUCGAAGAAGUAGUGACGAGGGGUCGACUUCGACACUAACUGUGGGCCAACAAUAUAAUAAUAUGAAAUUCUAAUUAAACAUAAUAUUAUAAAAUGACAAUAGAACUCGGAGCAAGGAAUAAAUAAACAAUCCGUUCACCGUUAAUAACCAACCAUUUCCCUAUUUUAACCAUAACCUCUCAAGCCAAGGAAAACAAUAUCGAAUAUAUAGGGACUUCCAAUAUUAUUAUGCAUGAAUUUUUGCCGAGGAUGGACGGCCCGAUCCAAAUAUACAUAUACAUAUACUAUGUGCAUUGCCGAGGGUCAAACGACACAAACCAUAGAUGCAUCUAUUAACCUGCCGAUGCGAACGACCCAUUCCCAUGAGAGUAGUAGAAAUUUACCCCGCUCGCGGAAUAUACUUGCAACACCGUUAAACAUAUAUUUCUCAAGUUAUCAUAAUAUACCUCAAUUCUUUCAAAAAUAAGAAACUCAACAAGAAGCUUUUAAAAUCUUGAAAUCCUCAACCUCAGCUCCAUUUAAGACAAUUAAUACGCAUAAUCAAUUAACAGUGUCAACAAAGCAUGAUGUAAACCUAAAACUACCCAGACAUAAGCAUGAAUAGUAGCUACAUACGUACUCGCGUCAUCUCGUGCGUACGUAGCCACCACAAAUAGAAGCACAUAUUAAUUAAGUUCACCAAUAUGGUUAAUUCCCUCUUACAAAGUUAGAAAAGAGACUUACCUCGCCUCAAAGCCUACUUUUUAGUCCAAGAUUGUGCCCAAACCCUCAACUCGGUGCCAAACGACUCGAAACUAGUCAAAUAUUAUAUAAAAUAGUCAAUACAUGUUUAAAAGUUCAUAUCCUAACUAUCAAAGUGAUUUCCCAAGCCUAUUUGAAGAUUCCCUAAAAUUCACCUCCGGGCCCACGUGCCCGGAUUCGAAGAAAAUUGUUACCCAUAACCUCAUGAAUUCAUAUAUAUAUAUAUAUAUAUAUGAUUUCUAUGAAAUUCCAUAACAAAUUUCGUGGUUAAAUCUUAUUUUUAUCAAAAACCUAGGUUUUCACCUAAACUCAUGAUUUUCACUAAUUUACAUGUUAAAAUCUACCCAUAAACUAUGUAUUUAACACAAAUUGGUGUAACGACCCGGUCGGUCGUUUCGAGAGUUGUAGCCUUGUUCACCCAUUUUCUACUUCUUUUUUGUUCUACAGUUGUAUUAUGACUUAUCAGGUUAGCUGGUUCGGGUCCGGAGUGAUUUCAGAAUGAUAUGAGACACUUAGUCUCUUAUUUAAAAGCUUAAGUUAGACAAGUUUACAGGAUGUUGACUUAUAUGUAAAUAACCUCGAAUUUGAAUUUUUAUAUUUCCGUUAGCUCUGUUAGGUGAUUUUGGACUUGGGAGGACGUACGAAUUGUGUUUUGGAGGUCUUUAGUAGAAUUAGGCUUGAAAUGCCGAAAGUUGGAAAUUUGGAAAGGUUGAUCGGGGGUAGACUUUUUUAUAUCGGGGUCGGAUUGGAUUUCUAGAAGUUGGGAUAGGUGCGUGGUGUCAUUUAUUACUUGUGUGCAAAAUUUAAGGUCAAUCGGACUUGAUUUGAUAGAUUUUGACAUUGUUUGUAGACUUCGGAAAAUUCAAAGUUCAUUAGGCUUUAAUCCGUGUGUAAUUCGUGUUUUUGAUGUUGUUGGAGGUGAUUUGAAGAUUCGACUAAGAUGUUUGAUUGAGGUUUCAAGGGCCUCGGGUGAGUUUCGGGUGGUUAACGGAUCAUUUUUGGCCUUGGUGAGAUAGUUGAUCUACUGCUGCAUUUCGUUUCUUAUUUCCUCUUACGUGUUCGCGAGAGGGGCUUCACGUUCGCGAAGAGUGUUUAUGAAAUGGUGAAUUUUUGUUCUACGUGUUCGCGAAGGAGAGGAUGCAAACGCAAAGGGUAGGGCAGUGUGUGCAUCACGAAUGCAUGAGUGGUGUCACGUUCACGAAGAGGAGUAAGGCAGUUGGGGACCCCAGGUCCUUGGUCUACGCAUUCACGAGGUGAAGGGCGCAUUCGAGAAGGUUUGAUCUGGUAAAACAUCGCAUUCAUGAAGAAGUUUUCGCAUUCGCGAAGGGUAAUUCAAUGAGGCAGUCUGAGUUGGUCUAAUCGAACAUGGGAGGAUGGUCGCGUUCGCGAAGAAGGAAAUCUGGGCAGACCGUAUUAAUUUCAAAAACGAGGGUUUGAACCCAUUUUUCAUAUUUUGGGCUAGAGAUCACGGAUUUGGGCGAUUCUUUAAGGGAUUUUCAUGGAAUUGAUUGGGGUAAGUGUUUCUUGCUUAGUUUUGGCUAAAUCCCAUGAUUAUAUCUUUAAUUUUAUCAUCUAAUUUGUGAUUUGGGGUGAAAAAUUGGGGAAAAAGAGGAAGUGUUCUUGAGAUGGAAUUUUGAGGUUUUGAAUGGGAUUUUGUUAUCGGAUUUGUGUAAAUUUGGUAGGGUUAGACUCAUGAAUGAAUGUGCUUUCGGGUUUUUUUGCCUUUGUCAGAUUUUGAGACAUGGGCCCGGGGCCGGGUUUUAGCCCAUUUCGAAUAUUUUGCUAUAAUUUGGUAUUUUUCUCGUGGAAUUGAUUCCUAUAGCCCGUAUUGAUUAUAUUGUAUUGCUUGUGUAUAGAUUCGGGAUGUUUGGAGACCGAUUUGAGAGGCAAGGGCAUUGCGGAGUAGGAGUUUUGCUUAGUUUGAGGUAAGUAACGCUUUCAAACUUGGUUCUGAGGGUUCGAAACCCCGAAUUAUGUGUUAUGUGAUUGGUAUUGAGGUGACAGACAUCCUAAGUGACGAGCGUUCGGGCGUGCACCGUGAGAAUUGUGACCUGGUUGAUUCCAUGGUACCGUAUAAUGACUCUAUCCUAUUGAUAUCCGUUCUUUCUUCAUGUGAUAAAGUAAUUGAGCUGUCAAUCAUGCGCAAUAUCAUGUUUAGGCUUUAUGCUGGUACCGUUGAGAUGCUAGUGGUCCUUUCUUGCUGUCAUCUCACUGAUUUUAUUAAUAUUCUGUACUCAGUCACAUUCAUGCAUUUUUUUUAUAUCAUAUCUCAAUCUCAGUUAUUUAUUAAUACAUCAUAUCAUUGUUCUGGGUUAGUUUCAUGACAUUGUGAGCCCAUGGGUGAGACUAGAGAGAUUGAUGACUGAGUGAGGUUGAGAGCCUGAUUAUGAUUGACAGUUAUGGGAUCGGACUACACGCCACAUUGAUUAUAUUAAUUUGUGAUAGCGCUUGGGAUGUAGGAGCCCCUCCGGAGUCUGUAACACACCCCUAGUGAGUGCAGUUGAUAUUAUUGAGGGAUGGAUCUUCCCUGGACAUGGAUCUUGUCCGAAGCAUUUGAUACCUGGAGAUGGAUCUUCUCCAUAGGGCUGGAGUGGCCCUUCCUCGGUACUGAGUGACUGUUAUCAGUGAUGUAUAUAUAUUUUGGGAUGGAUAUUCCCUGGGCCGUAUGAGCCAUAUAUAGUAGUGAGUGGUUGAUUAUUUGAGAGUAUGAGCACAUGAGGCUGAUAGCAUGGUGCAUUCCAUACAGCAUGUGCAUUGGCAUGUAGAAGUAGCAGAGAUAUAUUCUUUACACUAUUUGUAUCUGCUCUCCUUUACUAUUUUGAAUUUCAUAUUAAAUUAAAAGCAUGCCUUCAUUUCUACACAGUUAUUUUUGGUCUUAUCUAUAUCGGUUGAGUUUGUCACUACCUUUCAGUCCAAAGUUUGGGCUCGUUACUUUCUGAGUUGGUGUACUCACGUUACUCCCUGCACCUCGUGUGCAGAUCCAGGCAAUACCGGUCGCAUCAGUGGUUACUGAUUGAGUUUUCAGAGUUUGGAGACUAUCGAGGUAGCUGCAUGGCAUUUGCAGACCUUGACUCUCCUUCUUUAUCUUUUGACGUAUUUUCAGUUUAUCUCUCUAGACAUUGUACUAGACUGUAUUCUGAUCUAGAUGCACAUGUACUAGUGACACCCUAGUUUUCGGCUGGAUUGUAUCGCAUAUUGGGAU
This 8143-nucleotide long non-coding RNA is filed under the name Nicotiana tabacum (common tobacco). Its description in RNAcentral is "long non-coding RNA (NTAB_LNC018537)". The record is from RNAcentral. Lineage: Eukaryota; Viridiplantae; Streptophyta; Magnoliopsida; Solanales; Solanaceae.